Molecule: non-coding RNA, 95 nt
Filed under: unclassified sequences
Description: PhotoRC-II RNA
Rfam family: PhotoRC-II RNA
Source: RNAcentral
UAACCGUUGUGAACACCCCGUAAACCGAGACCUCUAGGGUGUCUAAAUCACGUCUCUAAUAUCCUGUCUUAGGGUGACAGGAAAUAGUAACUCCA